AUCCCAUGGUGAAAGAGGGGUACAUGUAAGUGUUUGUAAAAUGAGCCUGAGAUAAACGCGAGAAAGUGUGGGAAAUAGAUGAAAGAGGUACACGUGGAUAGCUAUGAUGUGGCAAAUGUGGGAAGGCGUAGGAGCCGUUACGCAUAUCAUGUAAAAGAGUCUAGACUCUUCUAACGGUGAAAUUAGAUAGGCUUAUUUUAUUUUAUUUUAAAAUAUAUAUAUGGACUUGUUUGAUUAGGAGUGAAAAUAGUAUGAAUAUUAUUUAUUCAAAUUUAUCUUCAUAUUCAAAUUAAUUCGGAUAUAGAUAGAAAUUUAA
RNAcentral lists this long non-coding RNA (316 nucleotides) under Elaeis guineensis (African oil palm). RNAcentral's name for it is "long non-coding RNA (EGUI_LNC055134)". The record is from RNAcentral. Lineage: Eukaryota; Viridiplantae; Streptophyta; Magnoliopsida; Arecales; Arecaceae.